Molecule: non-coding RNA, 228 nt
Organism: Vicia faba (fava bean)
Lineage: Eukaryota; Viridiplantae; Streptophyta; Magnoliopsida; Fabales; Fabaceae
Source: the annotation of a GenBank genome assembly
AUGAUAACUGGCGGAAGCAUUAUGAUCGGACAGGUUUUAGAGCAUGUUUGGUUAUACAAUGUGAUGGUAUUUAUCACAUCUCAUUGUUCACAGAAUGUGAAUUUUCCAAAGCUCCAAAUAGUAGAAUCGAGUCAGCAGAGGGUGAUAGGCCGCAGAAACAAACAAGCACUUUUAUUCAAGUUCCUAAAACCUAGGUCCAAUGUUAAUACAAAGCAUGUUCAAGCCUAA